Hippopotamus amphibius kiboko is the source of this 1090-nucleotide long non-coding RNA. RefSeq lists it as uncharacterized. NCBI's taxonomy places the organism in Eukaryota, Metazoa, Chordata, Mammalia, Artiodactyla, Hippopotamidae. The transcript has 3 exons. The record is from RefSeq and is a predicted model, not a curated record.
UGAAGCCUGGGAAGCAGCAUGAUUUGAGAUAAAAAGAUUGAAUUCAUCAACACACCUUCUGAAGAUGCAUUUUUAGUAUCAAAAUUAUGUAGAGAUAGAAUGGGGUCAAAGCCAAUCUGACUUUUCCACCUUACUUUAGAAUCUAAAGUUUAGACAAAUUGGCACCAUUUCGCAUUGUAUUGUAUCACAUUUUAGGAGAGUUGUUUCCUUCGGGGUAGAACUUCUAUCAAAUCCCUGUAGAGCUUACACUGCAACAAUAAUGGGAGAAGACAUUUGGCUAAAGUGGGAGCACCUGACCUCUUGUUUUUGAAGAGUAAUUAUGAAAUCACCUGUUUCUUUAAAUCCCAGAAGAUCAAUUUUCUGAUUGAAAAGAAUUGAAAAAAAAUUUUUUUUUGAAAAUGAGUCGCAUCGGGAGUUACCAAGUGCAAUUUAUUCUUUAUAUGUGAAUGAGAAAGUCACUAGAAGAACAUGUGAGGGGGCAGAGAUGGAUUUUGAACAUGCUGUCUAAAUUAUUGAACUAAAAGCCUAGCUUUCAACAUGUUUCAGAGGACCAAUUGUAUGAAUGCGAGGCAGUGCACCAUGAUGGAUAAGAGCAUAGACUGGGUUUGAAUCCUGACUCUACUUACUGGCCGUGUGACAGCAGCACAGUCUUGGGAAAGUAUUUUUCAAGGAUCACUUGAUGAUUAAAACUGACUGAUAAACAAAUCAGAGAACAAACAGGAACAUUUGAUGGUGAAAAUACAGUAUUUUCUGGAUCAUGUAGUUCCAUGGCUUGCAUUCCUUGCUGCCAAAAGAGGGAAGGAGAGAAUCUUCAGACACUUGGUUAGUAUUCGCCCUCUGGAAGAAAGUGAACAUCAAAGCACAGACUGACUACAUACCCGUGAUUCGGAGCCUUGCCUCUGAGGGGCCAGCUCCUGGUGACAGUUUCUGACAUUCUGCUAAAGUUAGUGUGUGCUGCUGGCCUCCAGGCAGGUGUCCUGUGUCAGCAAUGACAAUUUUAAAUGAAUGGGGCACCUUGCCGAAAAAUUACCACGUAUACAAAUGAGUGACUUUGUAGUUAGCUCCUGAAAAUACUGUACAUAGAAAGACA